UUUGCCGUGCUGGACUUCUCG
This 21-nucleotide unclassified non-coding RNA is filed under the name Chlamydomonas reinhardtii. RNAcentral's name for it is "small RNA Cre_4142". Lineage: Eukaryota; Viridiplantae; Chlorophyta; Chlorophyceae; Chlamydomonadales; Chlamydomonadaceae. The record is from RNAcentral.